Molecule: ribosomal RNA, 858 nt
Filed under: Leuconostoc lactis
Lineage: Bacteria; Bacillati; Bacillota; Bacilli; Lactobacillales; Lactobacillaceae
Description: bacterial SSU rRNA
Rfam family: Bacterial small subunit ribosomal RNA
Source: RNAcentral
ACGCGCAGCGAAAGGUGCUUGCACCUUUCAAGCGAGUGGCGAACGGGUGAGUAACACGUGGAUAACCUGCCUCAAGGCUGGGGAUAACAUUUGGAAACAGAUGCUAAUACCGAAUAAAACUUAGUAUCGCAUGAUACAAAGUUGAAAGGCGCUACGGCGUCACCUAGAGAUGGGUCCGCGGUGCAUUAGUUAGUUGGUGGGGUAAAGGCCUACCAAGACAAUGAUGCAUAGCCGAGUUGAGAGACUGAUCGGCCACAUUGGGACUGAGACACGGCCCAAACUCCUACGGGAGGCUGCAGUAGGGAAUCUUCCACAAUGGGCGAAAGCCUGAUGGAGCAACGCCGCGUGUGUGAUGAAGGCUUUAGGGUCGUAAAGCACUGUUGUAUGGGAAGAAAUGCUAGAAUAGGGAAUGAUUCUAGUUCGACGGUACCAUACCAGAAAGGGACGGCUAAAUACGUGCCAGCAGCCGCGGUAAUACGUAUGUCCCGAGCGUUAUCCGGAUUUAUUGGGCGUAAAGCGAGCGCAGACGGUUGAUUAAGUCUGAUGUGAAAGCCCGGAGCUCAACUCCGGAAUGGCAUUGGAAACUGGUUAACUUGAGUGUUGUAGAGGUAAGUGGAACUCCAUGUGUAGCGGUGGAAUGCGUAGAUAUAUGGAAGAACACCAGUGGCGAAGGCGGCUUACUGGACAACAACUGACGUUGAGGCUCGAAAGUGUGGGUAGCAAACAGGAUUAGAUACCCUGGUAGUCCACACCGUAAACGAUGAAUACUAGGUGUUAGGAGGUUUCCGCCUCUUAGUGCCGAAGCUAACGCAUUAAGUAUUCCGCCUGGGGAGUACGACCGCAAGGUUGAAACUCAAA